UACGAGGGGGGCAAGCGUUGUCCGGAAUUAUUGGGCGUAAAGAGCUCGUAGGCGGCCAGUUGCGUCCGCUGUGAAAUCCCGGGGCUUAACCCCGGGCGUGCAGUGGAUACGGGCUGGCUAGAGGCAGGCAGGGGAGAACGGAAUUCCCGGUGUAGCGGUGAAAUGCGCAGAUAUCGGGAGGAACACCAGUGGCGAAGGCGACUACCUGGCCUGUUCUUGACGCUGAGGCGCGAAAGCUAGGGGAGCAAACGGG
RNAcentral lists this ribosomal RNA (253 nucleotides) under uncultured bacterium. RNAcentral's name for it is "partial 16S ribosomal RNA". It matches the Rfam family "Bacterial small subunit ribosomal RNA", at positions 524 to 776 of the family's 1533-position model. The record is from RNAcentral.